CAUUUUUUCUGUAUAUCAGUGCUUUCAAUCCGUUCCAUAGCCAGACAAAUGCCCACUAAAAUUUUGUUUGUCCAAAUAUAAACCAAUUACAGCAACAAAGCACUUUCUGAUUGUCAUCUAUCAAAAAAAUGACAACUGGAUUUGCCAAAUAAUUGGGAAGGCUUCUUAACACUAUUUUCUCAUCCGUUACAAAAGAAUGAUGGUAUAAUUAACUCAAAAUAUACAGAUUACGACCUCGGUUGUGUUGCCAAAACAAAGGGAAGGAAGCAGCGAGGAAUAAAACCAGAACUAAGCAUCUUCAUUUAAUGAUCAAUUCAGAUUCGCAUAUCAAAGAAGUUUGCUGGUUCUUCGUCUUGAUGGCCCUCCAGGAAAGAGCUUCAUUAUCCACCCCAAAACCCUUUCAACCACCUCAUCACCCUCGUCUGCAUAUGCAGUAUUGUCCUGUGUAGUACGAGAAUCAGUUAACCUUGACGGGACAUUCUCAUUUGCCAUACUUUGAGCAGUCAAAAGCUCUAAUCUUUGAGUCUGAGCCUCGAGCUUGCGUGACAACUCAUUAUUUAAAUCCUUAAGCCUAGAACGUUGAGAUGACUCGGAUGCCAAAGCUUGUAUCAACUCUUCCUUUUCUAUUGCUAACUCUGAAAUUAGCGUAUUAAUGUUUACAAUCAUCCUCAUCUGAUCUGGAGGAAUAUACACAGAUGAAACUUCAAUAUUUGACUGGUCAUUUUCAGGUAGCAUGGGAAAACCAGGGGUUUCACUUCCAACAAGUGAAGGCGCAUUUGUUUCCUGGUUCGAAGUAUAAGGGAUGGCAUCUAAAUCUUCUGUAGUCGUUGACAUAUCCUUUUUAUUGUUGCAACUCUUGCUAACAUCAAUAGACUUUCCACUUCCUGAAGCUUUCCGUAACUUGGAUUGCAAUAGUUUCUUCUCUUCUUGAAGAGCAUCAAUUGUUGAUUGCAAGUCCUGACGAUCUUUCUCUAGGCUGGACAUUUUCUUUUUG
RNAcentral lists this unclassified non-coding RNA (994 nucleotides) under Hevea brasiliensis (rubber tree). The record is from RNAcentral. Lineage: Eukaryota; Viridiplantae; Streptophyta; Magnoliopsida; Malpighiales; Euphorbiaceae.